CACAGAGGGUCUGUGUUUUUCACUCUCGGUCUUAGAAUCUAUCCACGACCAUACUAAUUAAAUAUUCGCUUAUUUCUACGCAAAGCUUUGUUGUUGUAGUUCAUUGCCGUGUUAUGCUGCCCCAGAAGUCUGUCUGAAAUCAGGAACCGUGUUCAAAGAGUCAUCAAAGCUUUCAGACGGAGCCGCAGCGAGUUUCAGACCGAGUCAGAUCUUUUUUUUUGACAUCAUGAUGCACGAGCUUGUUUGCUGCGUGGAAAUUUCUGCUCGACCGCCAUUUUCUUUUUCUCAGAUGAAAGUGGUUUGGCCCACUGCCUGCUUUCCUUCUUUACCGAUACACACAGGAGUCCGGUGAGAGAGAGCAAGUUAGUUAUGUUGUAAACCAGUGAACCAGGAGCCUGUGUGAAGGAUUUUAACGAUGAGGUGCCUGGGAUUUUCAGUCAUUAUGGGGUGUUCAUCAAAAUGGUUAAAGUUCUGUUUUUACUGGCUAAAUGCAUUAUUUGGAUAAUAUAAUACAAUGUUGCUUGUGCAGUUUGACUGUUGUUAAUAGUUUGUUUUUCUGUUUGAUUUCAGAUCAGUGAAGAGUUAUAUAGACUAUUCUAUUUUUAUUUAUUUUUCAGAACAAAAGCCUACAUUUGUGUGUUUUGUAGGUGCAAUAGUAAAAGGCAAGGAUUUUUGUAUUCCUUUAUUUUCCUGUACUCUGCUUUAGAAGUUAAGAACCAGGCAGAUAAUUUUGAGCUGAACACUGCUUUGAUGAGCUGAGCUCAAGGUCGUUAUUCAGAAGAACUUCAUGAACCACCUGAUAACAUUGGCGUCAUGAUCGAGGGAGUCAAAGCUGUAAAUCUUCUGAGUAGACUACAGUAAACACACAGUAAUGAUGUUUGAGUUUAUUUAUGUCUAGUCUGAGUUUGAAAGAAUGUCUCAGAGUUUUAGUCGGUAGAUGUUUCAGUUGUUGUUGUAUGUUUGUAAGACUAUCCAGUUGUUGGUUUGUAUGUGUAUGUCAGUGUAUAAA
This is a long non-coding RNA of Onychostoma macrolepis, 1009 nucleotides long. RefSeq lists it as uncharacterized. The record is from RefSeq and is a predicted model, not a curated record. The transcript is spliced from 4 exons. Lineage: Eukaryota; Metazoa; Chordata; Actinopteri; Cypriniformes; Cyprinidae.